This 77-nucleotide transfer RNA is filed under the name Chloroflexota bacterium. RNAcentral's name for it is "Chloroflexi bacterium tRNA-Val". It matches the Rfam family "tRNA". From Rfam's summary of the family: Transfer RNA (tRNA) molecules are approximately 80 nucleotides in length. The record is from RNAcentral. Lineage: Bacteria; Bacillati; Chloroflexota. RNAcentral also lists the same sequence under 1 other name.
GGGCGGUUAGCUCAGUUGGUUAGAGCACUUGCUCGACACGCAAGAGGCCAGUGGUUCGAGUCCACUACCGCCCACCA